RNAcentral lists this ribosomal RNA (496 nucleotides) under uncultured bacterium. RNAcentral's name for it is "bacterial SSU rRNA". It matches the Rfam family "Bacterial small subunit ribosomal RNA", at positions 9 to 525 of the family's 1533-position model. The record is from RNAcentral.
AUGUUUGAUCCUGGCUCAGAGCGAACGCUGGCGGCAGGCUUAACACAUGCAAGUCGAGCGGGCGUAGCAAUACGUCAGCGGCAGACGGGUGAGUAACGCGUGGGAACGUACCUUUUGGUUCGGAACAACACAGGGAAACUUGUGCUAAUACCGGAUAAGCCCUUACGGGGAAAGAUUUAUCGCCGAAAGAUCGGCCCGCGUCUGAUUAGCUAGUUGGUGAGGUAAUGGCUCACCAAGGCGACGAUCAGUAGCUGGUCUGAGAGGAUGAUCAGCCACAUUGGGACUGAGACACGGCCCAGACUCCUACGGGAGGCAGCAGUGGGGAAUCUUGCGCAAUGGGCGAAAGCCUGACGCAGCGACGCCGCGUGCGGGAAGAAGGCCUUCGGGUUGUAAACCUCUUUCAGGAGGGACGAAGCCACUCGGGUUAAUAGCCCAGAGGGUGACGGUACCUCCAGAAGAAGCCCCGGCUAACUACGUGCCAGCAGCCGCGGUAAUA